AGACCCGAAACCCGGUGAUCUAGCCAUGGGCAGGUUGAAGGUUGGGUAACACUAACUGGAGGACCGAACCGACUAAUGUUGAAAAAUUAGCGGAUGACCUGUGGCUGGGGGUGAAAGGCCAAUCAAACCGGGAGAUAGCUGGUUCUCCCCGAAAGCUAUUUAGGUAGCGCCUCGUGAAUUCAUCUCCGGGGGUAGAGCACUGUUUCGGCUAGGGGGCCAUCCCGGCUUACCAACCCGAUGCAAACUGCGAAUACCGGAGAAUGUUAUCACGGGAGACACACGGCGGGUGCUAACGUCCGUCGUGAAGAGGGAAACAACCCAGACCGCCAGCUAAGGUCCCAAAGUCAUGGUUAAGUGGGAAACGAUGUGGGAAGGCCCAGACAGCCAGGAUGUUGGCUUAGAAGCAGCCAUCAUUUAAAGAAAGCGUAAUAGCUCACUGGUCGAGUCGGCCUGCGCGGAAGAUGUAACGGGGCUAAACCAUGCACCGAAGCUGCGGCAGCGACACUGUGUGUUGUUGGGUAGGGGAGCGUUCUGUAAGCCUGUGAAGGUGGCCUGUGAGGGUUGCUGGAGGUAUCAGAAGUGCGAAUGCUGACAUAAGUAACGAUAAAGCGGGUG
This 615-nucleotide ribosomal RNA is filed under the name Salmonella enterica subsp. enterica serovar Essen. RNAcentral's name for it is "partial 23S ribosomal RNA". It matches the Rfam family "Bacterial large subunit ribosomal RNA", at positions 711 to 1323 of the family's 2925-position model. The record is from RNAcentral. Lineage: Bacteria; Pseudomonadati; Pseudomonadota; Gammaproteobacteria; Enterobacterales; Enterobacteriaceae.